RNAcentral lists this ribosomal RNA (794 nucleotides) under uncultured bacterium. RNAcentral describes it as "bacterial SSU rRNA". It matches the Rfam family "Bacterial small subunit ribosomal RNA", at positions 61 to 840 of the family's 1533-position model. The record is from RNAcentral.
GUCGAGGGGCAGCGGGGAGCAAGCUUGCUUGCUCUGCCGGCGACCGGCGCACGGGUGAGUAACACGUAUGCAACCUGCCCUCCGCAGGGGGAUAACCCGGAGAAAUCCGGACUAAUACCGCGUGGUACACUUGUGGGGCAUCCCACGGGUGUUAAAAGGAAGUGAUUCCGGCGGAGGAUGGGCAUGCGGCGCAUUAGCUAGUUGGCGGGGUAACGGCCCACCAAGGCGACGAUGCGUAGGGGUUCUGAGAGGAAGGUCCCCCACACUGGUACUGAGACACGGACCAGACUCCUACGGGAGGCAGCAGUGAGGAAUAUUGGUCAAUGGGCGGGAGCCUGAACCAGCCAAGUCGCGUGAGGGAAGACGGUCCUAUGGAUUGUAAACCUCUUUAGGCGGGGAGCAAUGCCGGGCACGCGUGCCCGGAGGGAGAGUACCCGCAGAAUAAGCAUCGGCUAACUCCGUGCCAGCAGCCGCGGUAAUACGGAGGAUGCGAGCGUUAUCCGGAUUUAUUGGGUUUAAAGGGUGCGUAGGCGGAUUUUUAAGUCAGCGGUAAAAUGUCCGGGCUCAACCCGGGCCGGCCGUUGAAACUGGGGAUCUUGAGUGGGCGAGAAGUAUGCGGAAUGCGUGGUGUAGCGGUGAAAUGCAUAGAUAUCACGCAGAACUCCGAUUGCGAAGGCAGCAUACCGGCGCCCGACUGACGCUGAGGCACGAAAGCGUGGGGAUCGAACAGGAUUAGAUACCCUGGUAGUCCACGCAGUAAACGAUGAAUGCUAGUUGUCCGGUUCUUUGGGACU